RNAcentral lists this ribosomal RNA (1301 nucleotides) under Ormia sp. T250. RNAcentral's name for it is "partial 28S ribosomal RNA". It matches the Rfam family "Eukaryotic large subunit ribosomal RNA", at positions 120 to 1197 of the family's 3401-position model. The record is from RNAcentral. Lineage: Eukaryota; Metazoa; Arthropoda; Insecta; Diptera; Tachinidae.
UUUGUCUUUAUGGCAAAUGUGAGAUGCAGUGUAUGGAAUGUCAAAUUUCUAGUAUGAGAAAUUAACGAUUUAAGUCCUUCUUAAAUGAGGCCAUUUACCCAUAGAGGGUGCCAGGCCCGUAUAACGUUAAUGAUUAUUAGAUGGCAUUUCCAAAGAGUCGUGUUGCUUGAUAGUGCAGCACUAAGUGGGUGGUAAACUCCAUCUAAAACUAAAUAUAACCAUGAGACCGAUAGUAAACAAGUACCGUGAGGGAAAGUUGAAAAGAACUCUGAAUAGAGAGUUAAAUAGUACGUGAAACUGCUUAGAGGUUAAGCCCGAUGAACCUGAAUAUCCAUUAUAGAAAAUUCAUCAUUAUGUUUGUGGUAUACUAUUAAAAUGGUGUGCAUUUUUUCUAUAUGGACAUUGUAAUCUAUUAAUAUCAAAUAAAUUUAUCAAAAGAUCAGCGUAAGUUUAUUCAAAUUAUUUUGCUUGCAAUUUAACAUAGAAUAAAUGCUUUUGAUCUGAUAAAGUAUUGAUAGAUUUAAUAUAUAGUGCUUAAAUAAUAUUUUAUAAUAGCAUAUUAAUUAUUAAUUUAUAUGUUUAUUAUAUGCGCUUAUAUGAUUAACAAUGCGAAAGAUUCAGGAUACCUUCGGGACCCGUCUUGAAACACGGACCAAGGAGUCUAACAUAUUUGCAAGUUAUUGGAAAAAACCUAAUAGCGAAAUUAACAUAACAUAAUGGGAUUAGUUUUUAAACUAUUAAUUCAAUCCCGGGGCGUUCUAUACAGUUAUGUAUAAUAAUAUUUAUAUUAUUUAUACCUCUAACUAGAGCGUACCUUGAGCAUAUAUGCUAUGACCCGAAAGAUGGUGAACUAUACUUGAUCAGGUUGAAGUCAGGGGAAACCCUGAUGGAAGACCGAAACAGUUCUGACGUGCAAAUCGAUUGUCAGAAUUGAGUAUAGGGGCGAAAGACCAAUCGAACCAUCUAGUAGCUGGUUCCCUCCGAAGUUUCCCUCAGGAUAGCUGGUGCAUUUAAAAUUUAUGUAAAAUAUUCCUAUCUGGUAAAGCGAAUGAUUAGAGGCCUUAGGGUCGAAACGAUCUUAACCUAUUCUCAAACUUUAAAUGAAGGUAGUGGUUGUGAUAUAAUGUGCCCAGUGGGCCACUUUUGGUAAGCAGAACUGGCGCUGUGGGAAUGGGUAAGAACCUCACCUUUCUUGGUAUGAAGGUUGUGGUUGUGAUAUAAUGUGCCCAGUGGGCCACUUUUGGUAAGCAGAACUGGCGCUGUGGGAUGAACCAAACGUAAUGUUACGGUGCCCAAAUUAA